This is a small nucleolar RNA of Hibiscus syriacus, 107 nucleotides long. NCBI's taxonomy places the organism in Eukaryota, Viridiplantae, Streptophyta, Magnoliopsida, Malvales, Malvaceae. The record is from RefSeq and is a predicted model, not a curated record.
AAACCAUACAUUGGGCAUUUACACAAUAAAUAUUUGAAUCUCUCUCAUGCUUGAUAUAGAUUUUUAUCAUUUAUUUUCUUAAAAAGAGUGAUAUCAUUCCUCAAUCU